Molecule: unclassified non-coding RNA, 311 nt
Filed under: Chytridiomycota sp.
Lineage: Eukaryota; Fungi; Chytridiomycota
Description: partial contains small subunit ribosomal RNA, internal transcribed spacer 1, and 5.8S ribosomal RNA
Rfam family: Eukaryotic small subunit ribosomal RNA (bases 1-47)
Source: RNAcentral
AAAGUCGUAACAAGGUAACCGUAGGUGAACCUGCGGUUGGAUCAUUAACAAAUAAUUUUAGGCCCCCUGCUGCCCCACAAAGGCAGUGGGGAACACCUAAACAUUUGUGUGCACCAUAUCUGUUUUUGGCAGCUCGAGUGUCCUGAGUUUUAACAACCAACUCAGGUACCUACCUAGGCAAACCUCCGUGCGCCAAGGUUGGGUUGCCGCCAGUUUUGAAUCAACCUUUGUUUUUUUUUACUGCCUGAAAAUGUUUAAUCUUAACAGAUUAAAUUUAAAUACAACUUUUGACAACGGAUCUCUUGGCUCUC